RNAcentral lists this ribosomal RNA (497 nucleotides) under uncultured bacterium. Its description in RNAcentral is "partial 16S ribosomal RNA". It matches the Rfam family "Bacterial small subunit ribosomal RNA", at positions 28 to 507 of the family's 1533-position model. The record is from RNAcentral.
GAUGAACGCUGGCGGCGUGCCUAAUACAUGCAAGUCGAGCGAACGGACGAGAAGCUUGCUUCUCUGAUGUUAGCGGCGGACGGGUGAGUAACACGUGGAUAACCUACCUAUAAGACUGGGAUAACUUCGGGAAACCGUAGCUAAUACCGGAUAAUAUUUUGAACCGCAUGGUUCAAAAGUGAAAGACGGUCUUGCUGUCACUUAUAGAUGGAUCCGCGCUGCAUUAGCUAGUUGGUAAGGUAACGGCUUACCAAGGCAACGAUGCAUAGCCGACCUGAGAGGGUGAUCGGCCACACUGGAACUGAGACACGGUCCAGACUCCUACGGGAGGCAGCAGUAGGGAAUCUUCCGCAAUGGGCGAAAGCCUGACGGAGCAACGCCGCGUGAGUGAUGAAGGUCUUCGGAUCGUAAAACUCUGUUAUUAGGGAAGAACAGAUGUGUAAUUAACUGUGCACAUCUUGACGGUACCGAAUCAGAAAGCCACGGCUAACUACGUG